GUCAAGAUGGCCGAGUGGUUAAGGCGCUGGACUUGAAUUGACUCUCCGAGUCACCGAAAUCCAGUGGGUUCGCCCGCGUAGGUUCAAACCCUGCUCUUGACG
Non-coding RNA from Ascodesmis nigricans, 102 nucleotides. The record is from the annotation of a GenBank genome assembly. NCBI's taxonomy places the organism in Eukaryota, Fungi, Ascomycota, Pezizomycetes, Pezizales, Ascodesmidaceae.